RNAcentral lists this ribosomal RNA (497 nucleotides) under uncultured bacterium. RNAcentral describes it as "partial 16S ribosomal RNA". It matches the Rfam family "Bacterial small subunit ribosomal RNA", at positions 28 to 507 of the family's 1533-position model. The record is from RNAcentral.
GAUGAACGCUGGCGGCGUGCCUAAUACAUGCAAGUCGAGCGAACAGACGAGGAGCUUGCUCCUCUGACGUUGGCGGCGGACGGGUGAGUAACACGUGGAUAACCUACCUCUAAGACGGGGAUAACUUCGGGAAACCGGAGCUAAUACCGGCUCAUAUAUUGAACCGCAUGGAUCAAUAGUUAAAGACAGUUUUGCUGACACUUAGAGAUGGAUCCGCGCCGCAUUAGCUAGUUGGUAAGGUAACGGCUUACCAAGGCAACGAUGCGUAGCCGACCUGAGAGGAUGAUCGGCCACACUGGAACUGAGACACGGUCCAGACUCCUACGGGAGGCAGCAGUAGGGAAUCUUCCACAAUGGGCGCAAGCCUGACGGAGCAACGCCGCGUGAGUGAUGAAGGUCUUCGGAUCGUAAAGCUCUUUUAUUAGGGAAGAACAAAUGUGUAAGUAACUAUGCACGUCUUGACGGUACCUAAUCAGAAAGCCCCGGCUAACUUCGUG